CCUAAGGGCGGCAGCAGUGGGGAAUAUUGGACAAUGGGCGAAAGCCUGAUCCAGCCAUGCCGCGUGUGUGAAGAAGGCCUUCGGGUUGUAAAGCACUUUCAGUGGGGAAGAAAGCCUUGGGGCUAAUACCCUCGAGGAAGGACAUCACCCACAGAAGAAGCACCGGCUAACUCCGUGCCAGCAGCCGCGGUAAUACGGAGGGUGCGAGCGUUAAUCGGAAUUACUGGGCGUAAAGCGCGCGUAGGCGGUCUGAUAAGCCGGUUGUGAAAGCCCCGGGCUCAACCUGGGAACGGCAUCCGGAACUGUCAGGCUAGAGUGCAGGAGAGGAAGGUAGAAUUCCCGGUGUAGCGGUGAAAUGCGUAGAGAUCGGGAGGAAUACCAGUGGCGAAGGCGGCCUUCUGGACUGACACUGACGCUGAGGUGCGAAAGCGUGGGUAGCAAACAGGAUUAGAUACCCUAGUAGUC
This 465-nucleotide ribosomal RNA is filed under the name Vreelandella stevensii. RNAcentral describes it as "partial 16S ribosomal RNA". It matches the Rfam family "Bacterial small subunit ribosomal RNA", at positions 338 to 795 of the family's 1533-position model. The record is from RNAcentral. Lineage: Bacteria; Pseudomonadati; Pseudomonadota; Gammaproteobacteria; Oceanospirillales; Halomonadaceae.